Molecule: long non-coding RNA, 99 nt
Organism: Etheostoma spectabile (orangethroat darter)
Lineage: Eukaryota; Metazoa; Chordata; Actinopteri; Perciformes; Percidae
Exons: 3
Source: RefSeq, a predicted model, not a curated record
GUUAUGAGUUGAUGAAUCACUAAAACGAUUUUGGAAACAUUAUUUUAAGGUUGAACAAGUUCUCUAGUGUGGCUUUAUCUAGUUCAAAACAGUUUACAG